GGAAAAAGUGAAGCUGCCAGCAUGAUCUAGCUUURGCUAAAGAUAUGUACAAUCACACAUAUAUAUGUGRUUAUCAGUUCUAUUAACUCUAGCUAGGUCAUGCUCUGACAGCCUCACUCCUUCC
This 124-nucleotide microRNA precursor is filed under the name Malus domestica (apple). RNAcentral's name for it is "miR167e stem-loop (mdm-MIR167e)". Its record names the gene mdm-MIR167e. Lineage: Eukaryota; Viridiplantae; Streptophyta; Magnoliopsida; Rosales; Rosaceae. The record is from miRBase by way of RNAcentral.